Molecule: ribosomal RNA, 103 nt
Filed under: Citrobacter freundii
Lineage: Bacteria; Pseudomonadati; Pseudomonadota; Gammaproteobacteria; Enterobacterales; Enterobacteriaceae
Also listed under: 7 other names
Description: partial 23S ribosomal RNA
Rfam family: Bacterial large subunit ribosomal RNA
Source: RNAcentral
GGUUAAGCGACUAAGCGUACACGGUGGAUGCCCUGGCAGUCAGAGGCGAUGAAGGACGUGCUAAUCUGCGAUAAGCGUCGGUAAGGUGAUAUGAACCGUUAUA